UGGAAACAAAACUACUACUGUGAAAGUUGUGAAUAUGGCUGCCACUUUUUCACUACACUGAGUAAGUUGUUAUGCCUUUCAAACAGGAGAAUUCCAACACCAAUAUCCAGAUUAACUGUCAAACAGGAAGCAAUAUUACAGGGGAAAAGAAAAGCAUGCUUUUACGGGGCUCUUGCCAGGAAUGAAAGGUACAGCUUUAACACUGCAGAGUAGAUUUUACAUGGUCACGUAAGUAUACUUCAUAUAUGUUAAAACCAUGACAUCAUAUAAUAUAUUUCUCCCAUUGAAGAAAUCCUCUUUGGUGAGAAAACAAAUUUUAAGAUGUAUUGGGAUGGAAAGUAGGAGGGAUAGCCAGACCCAUCAUUAAGGAUUAGAUAAAUUCCAGAACUGCUCCUUACCUAUAUAAAUUAUUCCAUGAUCCUCAAAUAAAAUACUAUUUCUUUUAUCUCUAAAUUAUUUU
RNAcentral lists this long non-coding RNA (460 nucleotides) under Cyanistes caeruleus (blue tit). Its description in RNAcentral is "lncRNA (ENSCCEG00000009972.1)". Lineage: Eukaryota; Metazoa; Chordata; Aves; Passeriformes; Paridae. The record is from RNAcentral.